AAGACUAUAGACCUGCGGAGUACCUGCGGAGGGAUCAUUAUUGAAUAAACUUGAUGUAGUUGAGCUGACUCUCUCGGGAGUAUGUGCUCGCUCGUCAUCUUUAUCUUUCCACCUGUGCACUUUUUGUAGAUUUGGAUGUAACUGUCCGAGGCAACUCGGUUGGGAGGAAUGCUGUCUCUGACGGCUUUCCUUGUAUGUCCAGGUCUAUGUUUUCAUAUACUCCAAGUAUGUAACAGAAUG
RNAcentral lists this unclassified non-coding RNA (240 nucleotides) under soil metagenome. RNAcentral's name for it is "partial contains 5.8S ribosomal RNA, internal transcribed spacer 2, and large subunit ribosomal RNA". The record is from RNAcentral.